GAUGAACGCUGGCGGCGUGCCUAAUACAUGCAAGUCGAGCGAACAGACGAGGAGCUUGCUCCUCUAACGUUAGCGGCGGACGGGUGAGUAACACGUGGAUAACCUACCUAUAAGACUGGGAUAACUUCGGGAAACCGUAGCUAAUACCGGAUAAUAUAUUGAACCGCAUGGUUCAAUAGUGAAAGACGGUUUUGCUGUCACUUAUAGAUGGAUCCGCGCUGCAUUAGCUAGUUGGUAAGGUAACAGCUUACCAAGGCAACGAUGCGUAGCCGACCUGAGAGGGUGAUCGGCCACACUGGAACUGAGACACGGUCCAGACUCCUACGGGAGGCAGCAGUAGGGAAUCUUCCGCAAUGGGCGAAAGCCUGACGGAGCAACGCCGCGUGAGUGAUGAAGGUCUUCGGAUCGUAAAACUCUGUUAUUAGGGAAGAACAAAUGUGUAAGUAACUAUGCACGUCUUGACGGUACCUAAUCAGAAAGCCACGGCUAACUACGUG
Molecule: ribosomal RNA, 497 nt
Filed under: uncultured bacterium
Lineage: Bacteria
Description: partial 16S ribosomal RNA
Rfam family: Bacterial small subunit ribosomal RNA
Source: RNAcentral